This 439-nucleotide ribosomal RNA is filed under the name uncultured bacterium. Its description in RNAcentral is "partial 16S ribosomal RNA". It matches the Rfam family "Bacterial small subunit ribosomal RNA", at positions 339 to 795 of the family's 1533-position model. The record is from RNAcentral.
CUACGGGGGGCUCCAGUGGGGAAUAUUGCACAAUGGGCGAAAGCCUGAUGCAGCAACGCCGCGUGGAGGAUGACACAUUUCGGUGCGUAAACUCCUUUUAUAUAGGAAGAUGAUGACGGUACUAUAUGAAUAAGCACCGGCUAACUCCGUGCCAGCAGCCGCGGUAAUACGGAGGGUGCAAGCGUUACUCGGAAUUACUGGGCGUAAAGGGCGUGUAGGCGGAUAGAUAAGUUGGAAGUGAAAUCCUAUGGCUCAACCAUAGAACUGCUUCCAAAACUGUCUAUCUAGAAUGUGGGAGAGGUAGAUGGAAUUUCUGGUGUAGGGGUAAUAUCCGUAGAGAUCAGAAGGAAUACCGAUUGCGAAGGCGAUCUACUGGAACAUAAUUGACGCUGAGACGCGAAAGCGUGGGGAGCAAACAGGAUUAGAUACCCUAGUAGUC